Molecule: transfer RNA, 76 nt
Filed under: Betaproteobacteria bacterium RIFCSPLOWO2_02_FULL_63_19
Lineage: Bacteria; Pseudomonadati; Pseudomonadota; Betaproteobacteria
Description: tRNA-Asn
Rfam family: tRNA
About the family: Transfer RNA (tRNA) molecules are approximately 80 nucleotides in length. Their secondary structure includes four short double-helical elements and three loops (D, anti-codon, and T loops).
Source: RNAcentral
CGUCCAGUAGCUCAAUCUGUGGAGCGGCGCGCUGUUGACGCGAGGGCUGCAGGUUCGAAGCCUGCCUGCACAGCCA